GUGGAAGAGGUGGAUGUGGCUUUUUUUAAACAACUAACAAAAUCAUCCAAAGCCCAAGAUCUGGUGGUGAUGGGGGACUUCAACUAUCCAGAUAUAUGUUGGGAAAUUAACACAGCGGGGCACAGACUAUCUAAUAAGUUCUUGGACUGCAUUGCAGUCAACUUUUUAUUUCGGAAGGUUGAAAAAGCUACCAGGGGGGAAGCUGUUCUAGAUUUGAUAUUAAUAAAUAGGAAGGAACUUGUUGAAAAUUUGAAAGUGGAAGAAGGUAGCUUGGGUGAAAGUGAUCAUGAAAUCGUAGAGUUCACAAUUCAAAGGAAGGGACUACAGCAAAAUAGAGACAAUGGAUUUCAGGAAGGUGGAUUUUGGUAAGCUCAGAGAGCUGAUAGGUAAGGUCCCAUGGGAAUCACGACCGAGGAGAAAAACGACUGAGGAGAGUUGGCAGUUUUUCAAAGGGACACUAUUAAGGGCCCAAAAGCAAGCUAUUCCGCUGGGUAGGAAAGAUAGAAAAUGUGGCAAAAGACCACCUUGGCUUAACCACAAGAUCUUGCAUGAUCUAAAAAAUAAAAAGGAGUCAUAUAAAAAAUGGAAGCUAGGACAAAGUACAAAGGAUGAAUAUAGGCAAACAACACAGGAAUGUAGGGAUAAGAUUAGAAAGGCAAAGGCACAAAAUGAGCUCAAACUAGCUAUGGGAAUAAAGGGAAACAAGAAGACUUUUUAUCAAUAUAUUAGAAGCAAGAGGAAGACCAAAGACAGGGGAAGCCCACUGCUCAGUGAGGAGGGAGAAACAGUAACAGGAAACUUGGAAAUGGCAGAGAUGCUUAAUGACUUCUUUGUUUCGGUCUUCACCGAGAAGUCUGAAGGAAUGCCUAACAUAGUGAACGCUAAUGGGAAGGGGGUAGAUUUAGAAGAUAAAAUAAAAAAAGAACAAGUUAAAAAUCUCUUAGAAAAGUUAGAUGCCUGCAAGUCACCAGGGCCUGAUGAAAUGCAUCCUAAAAUACGCAAGGAGCUAACAGAGGAGGUAUCUGAGCCUCUAGCUAUUAUCUUUGGA
RNAcentral lists this long non-coding RNA (1048 nucleotides) under Chrysemys picta bellii (western painted turtle). RNAcentral describes it as "lncRNA (ENSCPBG00000002567.1)". Lineage: Eukaryota; Metazoa; Chordata; Testudines; Emydidae. The record is from RNAcentral.